RNAcentral lists this long non-coding RNA (1268 nucleotides) under Lepisosteus oculatus (spotted gar). RNAcentral describes it as "lncRNA (ENSLOCG00000021474.1)". The record is from RNAcentral. Lineage: Eukaryota; Metazoa; Chordata; Actinopteri; Semionotiformes; Lepisosteidae.
UAAGUAAGACUGGACACUCAGUUCACUACAUCGAUCAGUGUAUCCAAUGUUCCCAGCAGAUGCUGAAGAAUCCCAAGCUGGAGAAGGCGGAGAUCCUGGAGCGGGCUGUGCAGCACAUGAGGAGAUGGACCCUGCUGGGACACUACGGGUGGCCAGAGGGGGCGCCAGAACGGAGUUACGAGCACGGGUUCGUGGGCUGCCUCCGCACCGUGGGCGAGUUUCUGGAGGGCGGGGAGGGUGCCCGAGCCCCCAGAGCGAAACGCAGACUGCUACUGGACCACCUGCCCUCACCGGCCAGCCAAGACCCAGAUCGGACCCAAACGCGACUCCACGACCCGUCCUCGCCUUCCUCCGCCCUGAGCAUACAUGGGCACUGCCCCUGCCCAGCAGCAGAGGGCGCCCUGCUGGACCGACGAAGUGCUGGCAGCUGCCAGUCUGGGACUGAGACCCUGGUGCCACAGGGAGAGGUUGGCAGUGCUGUGCUGGGAGAGGAGGCGGAGGGAUCUUGUGGGACAGUCUACAGUUACCAUGGUCACAAUGCCCAGGGCACGGCCCUCUGUGCACGGCACCCUCCACCACAGACUGCAGUGCCUUUGCACAAUGUGUGGCGGCCCUGGCCUUAGAAACAAAUAGACUGUACAUGGACAAGUGGGGGUUGACCCACUGCUAUGGGACUAAAGCCCUGCUGUAUUUAUAGAGAGUAUUUAAUUAUCAAUUACUCAAAACCUGGAGUGGAAAUGGCUGUUUUGACUAGAAGGUUGUCACUUCUGAUCUUCCUCAAAUUCAGAUUUGACUUGUGAGCAGUUUUAAAUCAAUCUGAAAGGUUCAAUAUCACCAUUUAUGCCCAAACUGCACAGAUCUUAGUCUUUUCCUCAGAUCAAUCGAUGCUGCAGCCCCCUCCUUAAAUCCUUAUUAUGAGCACAUGUGAGACCCGUGGGCAAGAGUCUUGAUUCACCGGCGUCGUCAGUAGCAUAAUUACAGCCGAAAUCAUCAUUGUCUUCAUCUUCAUCAUCCCCCAGGACUGCUGUCAUCAUAGUAACUGUAAUUACUGUCAUUAUCGUCAUCAUCAUCACCACCCAUACCGUCACUGUCAUUAUCAUCGCCAUCAUCAUCAUCUUUAUUGUUAUUACAGUGGAAGUCUUGUCUCCCUGUGCCUGAGCCUUCCUCGCCUGCUCUGAGUUGAUCUCUAUUUUCUGUUGUUUCUCUGCUGUCUGUGCUUUUCCUGUCCUUAACACAUAUAUAUAUAUAUCUGUAUUAUAGUUCCCAUA